GACGUAGGGAGCGAGCGUUGUCCGGAUUCAUUGGGCGUAAAGAGCGCGCAGGCGGCUUGGUAAGUCGGAUGUGAAAACCCGGAGCUCAACUCCGGGCGUGCAUCCGAUACUGCCCGGCUAGAGGUAGGUAGGGGAGAUCGGAAUUCCUGGUGUAGCGGUGGAAUGCGUAGAUAUCAGGAGGAACACCGGUGGCGAAGGCGGAUCUCUGGGCCUUACCUGACGCUCAGGCGCGAAAGCUAGGGGAGCGAACAGG
This 253-nucleotide ribosomal RNA is filed under the name uncultured bacterium. Its description in RNAcentral is "partial 16S ribosomal RNA". It matches the Rfam family "Bacterial small subunit ribosomal RNA", at positions 524 to 776 of the family's 1533-position model. The record is from RNAcentral.